GGCCAGACUCCUACGGGAGGCAGCAGUGGGGAAUAUUGCACAAUGGGGGAAACCCUGAUGCAGCAACGCCGCGUGAGUGAAGAAGUAUUUCGGUAUGUAAAGCUCUAUCAGCAGGGAAGAAGAUGACGGUACCUGAGUAAGAAGCCCCGGCUAACUACGUGCCAGCAGCCGCGGUAAUACGUAGGGGGCAAGCGUUAUCCGGAUUUACUGGGUGUAAAGGGAGCGCAGACGGUGAGACAAGUCUGAAGUGAAAGCCCGGGGCUCAACCCCGGGACUGCUUUGGAAACUGCCUGACUGGAGUGCUGGAGAGGCAAGCGGAAUUCCUAGUGUAGCGGUGAAAUGCGUAGAUAUUAGGAGGAACACCAGUGGCGAAGGCGGCUUACUGGACUGUAACUGACGUUGAGGCGCGAAAGCGUGGGGAGCAAACAGGAUUAGAUACCCUUGUA
RNAcentral lists this ribosomal RNA (446 nucleotides) under uncultured bacterium. RNAcentral describes it as "bacterial SSU rRNA". It matches the Rfam family "Bacterial small subunit ribosomal RNA", at positions 329 to 792 of the family's 1533-position model. The record is from RNAcentral.